This 343-nucleotide ribosomal RNA is filed under the name uncultured Anoxybacillus sp. Its description in RNAcentral is "bacterial SSU rRNA". It matches the Rfam family "Bacterial small subunit ribosomal RNA", at positions 1037 to 1382 of the family's 1533-position model. The record is from RNAcentral. Lineage: Bacteria; Bacillati; Bacillota; Bacilli; Caryophanales; Anoxybacillaceae.
GGUGGUGCAUGGUUGUCGUCAGCUCGUGUCGUGAGAUGUUGGGUUAAGUCCCGCAACGAGCGCAACCCUCGACCUUAGUUGCCAGCAUUCAGUUGGGCACUCUAAGGUGACUGCCGGCUAAAAGUCGGAGGAAGGUGGGAUGACGUCAAAUCAUCAUGCCCCCUAUGACCUGGGCUACACACGUGCUACAAUGGGCGGUACAAAGGGUCGCGAACCCGCGAGGGGGAGCCAAUCCCAAAAAGCCGCUCUCAGUUCGGAUUGCAGGCUGCAACUCGCCUGCAUGAAGCCGGAAUCGCUAGUAAUCGCGGAUCAGCAUGCCGCGGUGAAUACGUUCCCGAGCCUU